UAAAAGGUCUGAGUGGACUACGGUGCACAGUGGGUGUUCAUAUGUAUCUCUUCCUCGUGGCACGACUUUUGUGUGGCUCCCUCAAGCUUGUGACACGCUGCCUACACCAGAGCUGAGUGUGUGGACAGUAGUUUCAGCAAGCGAAUAUCAUGCGGCCUGUGCCAAGAGGUACCACGUUAGGUCUGUGUCACCUUUGCCGAGAAGGCCGAACAUUGGAUCCCAUAUAGAGUGGGCCUUAUUUUGGUCGCUGUUGGAUUGAUUUGGGAAAGAUGCUGUGAUCCCCCGCUUUGCCACUGGUAUUUCACGCGUGACUACAAACUUGAUUCUGAGGCUGAACAUUGCGAUGUAGGCAAGCAGGUACAUUGUAUAUUAAUCAAGACUGAUUAAAUUAUUGGGUUUAAUAUCCCCAAAAUUUGCAAAUAAUGAGAUAUGCUAUAAUUGGUGGUAUUUUUGGCUCAAGUGAAGGUACUUUUGGUUUCUAUAAUGUUUUCACAAAGUAUUGUGCACAUGUGUUUUCCUUUUUUAUUUCCAAGCUGUUAUUUUCGAAAGAUAAUCACCAUGGCUGGGAUCAAAUGCUAUUUACAGUUUAAUUAUUUGUAGGUCUCAAGGUGUAGGUUUUAGAUAGUUUUUAGGCCCUAUCAACCUUCUGCUUUUGUCAUAAGCUAAAAUUUGGUUCCUUUCAGCUCUUAAUGGCAACAAAUUUCGUUCAUGUUUAUUCAGGCAUUGCCUAAUAGGGAAAUUUAGAAUUUCACAUUAUCUUAAUACGAAAAGUUGUGUUGACCCCAAGCCUAAGGCUUCUUUACUUAUUACUCUCUAAGGAGAUAAUUCUCUUUCAAUGAAGUGCCAGUUCAAGGUAUGACACCGACAUCCCAUCAGAAUACUUGUGCACAUGCUAAAGUUCUCAUUCGAUGACAGUGUUUGAAGUAACAAACACGUGUGGUGAAUGUGCUACUAUAUUUCAGGUCUCGAGGAAAUGCUACAGGUGCAGCUAGUGAAGAAGCACCGACUGUGACCUAAUGACCUUAGCCUGUUCCACAGGACGCUCGUAGAUUGGUACAUCUUGCGUGCUUUCUUCAAAGACUGAUGUGUGCUUGCGGUAAUCAGCACCUGUAACCAGCUGUCAACGUAGUGACGUUCCAUAUUCACCUCUUGGAAUCUCCAAUUGGGAAAAGUAGGUGGAGAGAAGAGGAUGGACAAAAACUGGGCAGUGAUUAAACGACAGACUGAAGCAGCAUUGCAACAAUGUUAGGAAUGGCAGAAAGGGUCACCUGGCAAUACACUGCAGAGAUUGCAAGCGGGUACCCGGAUUUUUCUGCAUGUUGCAUGAUUGCCCAUAGUCAGGACAACUGAAAUAGAUUAAUAAUUGAGGCAAGAAAAGAUUAUCAAAGCCGGUGAUCGUUGCACAAGUGUGUCGUUCAUAUCUUUAUCUCGGAAAGAAUUUUGUUAUCUGAAUGAAACUGCACAUCAAUGAAACGUGACAACUUUGUCUGCAGAAACAGCACCCCUUUCUGUGGGAAUAAACAUUGUUGGAAGUGGC
Long non-coding RNA from Rhipicephalus microplus (southern cattle tick), 1537 nucleotides. The record is from RefSeq and is a predicted model, not a curated record. Lineage: Eukaryota; Metazoa; Arthropoda; Arachnida; Ixodida; Ixodidae.